GCAAAAACAAAAUCUGAUAGCAUAGCUCAUCUGUUGUUUGGGAAAAUAUAUAAAACUUGGAAAGAAUAUAGAAUAAGAAAUAACAUUAAUUGAAAAGAAAAUUUAGCUCAUCAUCAAUUGAAACUCACUAAAAUCAACCCUUCCAUCCAAGUUCAAAUCCACAACCUUCAACAUCUUCUCUAUGUCGCUCAUAUCCAACCCUUUAUCCAGACCCAAGCACUGCAGCACCCUCUUCAGCUCCACAGCUUCUAUAUAUCCGUUACCAUUCUCAUCAAAUAUUUUGAAGGCUUCAUGCAGCAAAUGCUGGCGCUCUGACCCUUUUUCCAAUCCAUGAAGCACUUCCUCUACUGCCAUUUCAUCAUCUACCGCAGCGGAUUUGUUUCCUUCUUCUUCUUCUUCU
Molecule: unclassified non-coding RNA, 400 nt
Filed under: Hevea brasiliensis (rubber tree)
Lineage: Eukaryota; Viridiplantae; Streptophyta; Magnoliopsida; Malpighiales; Euphorbiaceae
Source: RNAcentral